Molecule: ribosomal RNA, 562 nt
Filed under: Taphrina deformans (peach leaf curl fungus)
Lineage: Eukaryota; Fungi; Ascomycota; Taphrinomycetes; Taphrinales; Taphrinaceae
Description: eukaryotic LSU rRNA
Rfam family: Eukaryotic large subunit ribosomal RNA
Source: RNAcentral
CUUCAGUAACGGCGAGCGAAGCAGGCAUAGCUCAAAUUUGUAAUCUGGCGUCUUUGACGUCCGAGUUGUAUUUUCUAGAAGCGAGUUCGGCGACAGCUCCUACCCAAGUCCGUUGGAACGCGGCGUCAUGGAGGGUGAGAAUCCCGUGAAUGGUAGGAUGUCUGCUGCUAUGUGAACCGCCUUCGAAGAGUCGAGUUGUUUGGGAAUGCAGCUCUAAAUGGGAGGUAAAUUUCUUCUAAAGCUAAAUAUUGGCCAGAGACCGAUAGCGAACAAGUAGAGUGAUCGAAAGAUGAAAAGAACUUUGAAAAGAGAGUUAAACAGUACGUGAAAUUGUUGAAAGGGAAGCGCUUGAGAUCAGACUUCCUGUCUGGACUGUCCUUGCUUUUUGCUUGGGUCAACAGUCCAGGCGUGGAGGCCAGCAUCAGUUUUGACGGCCGGAUAAAGGCUUUGGGAAGGUAGCUCCUCUCGGGGAGUGUUAUAGCCCAGAGUGUAAUACGGCCAGUUGGGACUGAGGACCGCGGCUUUGCCUAGGAUGCUGGCGUAAUGGUCUUAAGCGACCCGU